Molecule: long non-coding RNA, 794 nt
Organism: Ctenopharyngodon idella (grass carp)
Lineage: Eukaryota; Metazoa; Chordata; Actinopteri; Cypriniformes; Xenocyprididae
Exons: 3
Source: RefSeq, a predicted model, not a curated record
GAGUUUAGAAAAAGAUACUUUGAUGUCAAUCAGGACAACAAGUUACUGUACCAGGAGAAGCAGCUGCAGAACGUUCCAGCCAAAUACAGCAUUGAAGUGAAGGGCUCAACCUGUGUGUCUGUGCAGAUGUCUCAGUUCUACAACAUUCCCACUCCUACUGAAGCUAAAACAUUGAGCAUUGAUGAUUGAGGGAUUGCAAGAAAAGCUAUUGUUAAAUUUCACUGUUAAAUAUGAUGGUCUACAGGAAAAGACUAACAUGGUCAUUGUGGAUAUUAAACUCUUAUCAGGAUUCACAGCUGAUACAUCACAGGUGUGUUUGACUAUGUGAAGCGAUUCAUUAUUAGAUUUACAGUACUGUCACUGCGAAUCUACUGUAAGAUGGUGCAGCUAUGGCUGAUAUUGUCUUGCUCACUUCUUGCUGAACAGCAUGAUAGCUUACAGAAAUUACCUCAACAAAUCAUACAUUUAUUUUUUAAAAAUCACUUUUUCUACAGCUUGAAUCUCAAAGCACUUCAAGCGCAUCACUUGUGGAACGGGUCGAUUCUGUAGAUGUGACACUCGAUUCUUUCCAGCAGUGACUGUAUGAUUUUGAGAUCCAUCUUUUCACACUGAGGACAACUGAGGGACUCAAACACAGCUAUUAAAAAAGGUUCAAACAUUCACUGAUGCUCCAGAAGGAAACAUGAUGCAUCAAGAGUCGGGGGGUGAAAACUUUUGAACAGUAUGAAGUCGUCCAAAUUUUUCUUUUGUUUAAAUAUCAAUUUUUUUCAUUUAGUACUGCCCUUCGGAAGCAA